AUACGUAGGGGGCGAGCGUUGUCCGGAAUGAUUGGGCGUAAAGGGCGCGUAGGCGGCCCGGUAAGUCUGGAGUGAAAGUCCUGUUUUUAAGAUGGGAAUUGCUUUGGAUACUGUCGGGCUUGAGUGCAGGAGAGGUAAGUGGAAUUCCCAGUGUAGCGGUGAAAUGCGUAGAGAUUGGGAGGAACACCAGUGGCGAAGGCGACUUACUGGGCUGUAACUGACGCUGAGGCGCGAAAGCGUGGGGAGCGAACAGGAUUAGAUACCCUGGUAGUCCACGCUGUAAACGAUGAAUGCUAGGUGUAGGGGGUAUCGACCCCUCCUGUGCCGGAGUAAACGCAAUAAGCAUUCCGCCUGGGGAGUACGGCCGCAAGGUUGAAACUCAAAGGAAUUGACGGGG
Molecule: ribosomal RNA, 397 nt
Filed under: uncultured bacterium
Lineage: Bacteria
Description: partial 16S ribosomal RNA
Rfam family: Bacterial small subunit ribosomal RNA
Source: RNAcentral